RNAcentral lists this unclassified non-coding RNA (253 nucleotides) under uncultured Pirellulaceae bacterium. RNAcentral describes it as "contains 16S-23S intergenic spacer region". It matches the Rfam family "Bacterial small subunit ribosomal RNA", at positions 524 to 776 of the family's 1533-position model. The record is from RNAcentral. Lineage: Bacteria; Pseudomonadati; Planctomycetota; Planctomycetia; Pirellulales; Pirellulaceae.
CACGAACCGUGCGAACGUUAUUCGGAAUCACUGGGCUUAAAGCGUGCGUAGGCGGCCUGGAAGGUGAGGUGUGAAAUCCCUCGGCUCAACCGAGGAAUUGCGCUUCAAACCACCAGACUCGAGGGAGAUAGAGGUGAGCGGAACUGAUGGUGGAGCGGUGAAAUGCGUUGAUAUCAUCAGGAACACCGGUGGCGAAAGCGGCUCACUGGGUCUCUUCUGACGCUGAGGCACGAAAGCUAGGGGAGCGAACGGG